RNAcentral lists this ribosomal RNA (253 nucleotides) under uncultured bacterium. RNAcentral describes it as "partial 16S ribosomal RNA". It matches the Rfam family "Bacterial small subunit ribosomal RNA", at positions 524 to 776 of the family's 1533-position model. The record is from RNAcentral.
UACAGAGGGUGCAAGCGUUAAUCGGAAUUACUGGGCGUAAAGCGUGCGUAGGUGGACGUUUAAGUCGAAUGUGAAAGCCCCGGGCUCAACCUGGGAACUGCAUCCGAGACUGGACAUCUAGAGUAUGGUAGAGGAAAGUGGAAUUCCCGGUGUAGCGGUGAAAUGCGUAGAUAUCGGGAGGAACAUCAGUGGCGAAGGCGACUUUCUGGACCAAUACUGACGCUGAGGCACGAAAGCGUGGGGAGCAAACAGG